AGUGAACGCUGGCGGCGUGCCUAAUACCUGCAAGUCGAACGGAGUGGCGCACGGGUGAGUAAUGUAGAGCUAAUCUGCCAUACACUCGAGGACAAAAGUUGGAAACGACUGCUAAUACUCUAUAGUGUAGGAUGAGGCUAUAUUGUAUCAGCUAGUUGGUGAGGUAAUGGCUCACCAAGGCUAUGACGCAUAACUGGACUGAGAGGAUGAUCAGUCACCCGGGAACUGAGACACGGUCCAGCCUCCGACGUGAGGCAGCCGUAGGGAAUAUUGCUCCAUGGGGGAAACCCUGAAGCAGCAACGCCUCGUGGAGGAUGACACUGUUCGGAGCGUAAACUCCUUUUGGUAGGGAAGCGGUACCUAACGAAUAAGCACCGGCUAACUCCGUGCCAGCAGCCGCGGUAAUUC
RNAcentral lists this ribosomal RNA (408 nucleotides) under uncultured bacterium. RNAcentral's name for it is "partial 16S ribosomal RNA". It matches the Rfam family "Bacterial small subunit ribosomal RNA", at positions 29 to 526 of the family's 1533-position model. The record is from RNAcentral.